Molecule: long non-coding RNA, 530 nt
Filed under: Phoenix dactylifera (date palm)
Lineage: Eukaryota; Viridiplantae; Streptophyta; Magnoliopsida; Arecales; Arecaceae
Description: long non-coding RNA (PDAC_LNC009758)
Source: RNAcentral
CCUCGAUACGCCUCUAGAAUUUUACAGUAGGCAGCAGGGGACUUCUUCCUCUUGUUCCCUAGCUUCUUGCCCAACUGUGACAUGCAUUUACAAUACAUUUAGUUUUAUAUCAAGGGCUAUAAUCUACGUGCCAAUUAUAAUAUAGGGAACUUUAAUUGAUUCAACUCCCCCAUUCCCUAAAUCUUUUCUUUUCUUUCUUCUUUUUCUUUUUAAUUAAUUAACUUACCAUUUAUAUGUAUUAGGGACUCCCUUGAAUGAGUACAAGGUCCCUUUUAGCUUGAUCUAGGCUUAAUACCCUAUUAUAGCAUGAAAUCCCCUAUUUUCCACCCGGAUGAACAGUAACCCGAACUGACAGUGGGUUACUUCAUCCCGGUUUUGAUCCACUUUCAGGAUUCCAAAUUUGAUGAAAUUUUUACCUAACAUUCUACGCUCAUAGGGAAUUCCAAAGAGGUAAAAUGCAUUGCUAUCGGAGGUCGUUUGACCCCCUAAAUAAUUCGCCGAAGUUGGGACUUCGACACAAUUUUUCCGUA